Panicum virgatum (switchgrass) is the source of this 187-nucleotide long non-coding RNA. RefSeq lists it as uncharacterized. NCBI's taxonomy places the organism in Eukaryota, Viridiplantae, Streptophyta, Magnoliopsida, Poales, Poaceae. The transcript has 2 exons. The record is from RefSeq and is a predicted model, not a curated record.
UUACUCCAUUCAUUGUAGAGGCUCUAGUUUGUGCACAGGAUUGGCUUAGGAGAGCAACUCCUAUUGACAUCAAAGAGAAUAUGGAGGAAUUAGAAAUGAUGGAAAAAGAGUUAAUAGAAGAAUUUGGUAACCAUAAAGCCCAGAAUAUUGGCAAAGGAAAAGGGAAAGAAAAAGAGGCUUCCACUGC